Molecule: long non-coding RNA, 153 nt
Organism: Maniola jurtina (meadow brown)
Lineage: Eukaryota; Metazoa; Arthropoda; Insecta; Lepidoptera; Nymphalidae
Exons: 3
Source: RefSeq, a predicted model, not a curated record
ACUUGAUUGUCGUCGUACACGCAUCCUUUGUUCACGUUCCAUAGUCAUCAGAUCCGAUUUUUGAGAUAACACUAGAUAAUGUAAACGGUGCACAAUGUCCAUUUUGUAUCAAAAGUUUGUUUAGUUUAAUUUUUUUGUAAGUACAGAAGAAUU